This 253-nucleotide ribosomal RNA is filed under the name uncultured bacterium. RNAcentral describes it as "partial 16S ribosomal RNA". It matches the Rfam family "Bacterial small subunit ribosomal RNA", at positions 524 to 776 of the family's 1533-position model. The record is from RNAcentral.
UACAGAGGGGGCAAGCGUUAUUCGGAAUUAUUGGGCGUAAAGGGCGCGUAGGCGGCCUGCCAAGUGGAUGGUGAAAUCCCUCGGCUUAACCGAGGAACUGCCAUCCAGACUGUUUGGCUUGAGACCGGGAGAGGUGAGUGGAAUUCCCAGUGUAGCGGUGAAAUGCGUAGAUAUUGGGAGGAACACCAGUGGCGAAGGCGGCUCACUGGACCGGUACUGACGCUGAUGCGCGAAAGCUAGGGGAGCAAACGGG